CCUUUUGCUCUUCUCUUUCUGUGUCUAUUGAUUUCCCGCCCACUCACAUUUUCUUUAUCGAAUCUUUCUAGGCAGAUAGGACAACUCCUGCUUGCUCUUGGCCUUGGCUGCUUAGAGACAUUCCUUUAGUUCGUCUUAGAGAAUGGAAUUCCUAAUUCCGUUUUCGUCUUUCUUAUUGUAGGUUGGUCAUCUGUUUCAUUUUGAAUUCCAUCUCUUGC
This 218-nucleotide long non-coding RNA is filed under the name Nicotiana benthamiana. RNAcentral's name for it is "long non-coding RNA (NBEN_LNC030409)". The record is from RNAcentral. Lineage: Eukaryota; Viridiplantae; Streptophyta; Magnoliopsida; Solanales; Solanaceae.